Molecule: ribosomal RNA, 253 nt
Filed under: uncultured bacterium
Lineage: Bacteria
Description: partial 16S ribosomal RNA
Rfam family: Bacterial small subunit ribosomal RNA
Source: RNAcentral
UACGUAGGGUGCGAGCGUUAAUCGGAAUUACUGGGCGUAAAGCGUGCGCAGGCGGUUUGCCAAGUCAGGUGUGAAAUCCCCGGGCUUAACCUGGGAAUUGCGGUUGAAACUAGCGGGCUGGAGUGUGGCAGAGGGGGGUGGAAUUCCACGUGUAGCAGUGAAAUGCGUAGAGAUGUGGAGGAACACCGGUGGCGAAGGCGGCAUCCUGGACCGGUAUUGACGCUGAGGCGCGAAAGCUAGGGGAGCAAACGGG